RNAcentral lists this ribosomal RNA (794 nucleotides) under uncultured Pelagibacteraceae bacterium. Its description in RNAcentral is "bacterial SSU rRNA". It matches the Rfam family "Bacterial small subunit ribosomal RNA", at positions 44 to 886 of the family's 1533-position model. Lineage: Bacteria; Pseudomonadati; Pseudomonadota; Alphaproteobacteria; Candidatus Pelagibacterales; Candidatus Pelagibacteraceae. The record is from RNAcentral.
ACGCCUUAUACAUGCAAGUCGAACGAAGUAGCAAUACUUAGUGGCAGACGGGUGAGUAACAUGUGGGUAUCUUCCCUUUGGUGAGGAAUAACACGAGGAAACUUGUGCUAAUACUUCAUAAGUCUUUACAGAGAAAGCUUUAUGCGCCAAUGGAUGAGCCCGCACUUGAUUAGUUUGUUGGUAGGGUAAUGGCCUACCAAGACUGUGAUCAAUAGCUGAUCUGAGAGGAUGAUCAGCCACAUUGGGACUGAGACACGGCCCAAACUCCUACGGGAGGCAGCAGUAGGGAAUAUUGCACAAUGGAGGAAACUCUGAUGCAGCGAUGCCGCGUGAGUGAAGAAGGCCCUUGGGUUGUAAAGCUCUUUCGUCGGGGAAGAAAAUGACUGUACCCGAAUAAGAAGGUCCGGCUAACUUCGUGCCAGCAGCCGCGGUAAUACGAAGGGACCUAGCGUAGUUCGGAAUUACUGGGCUUAAAGAGUUCGUAGGUGGUUAAAAAAGUUGGUUGUGAAAUCCCGAAGCUUAACUUCGGAACUGCAAUCAAAACUUUUUAGCUAGAGUAUGAUAGAGGAAAGCAGAAUUUCUAGUGUAGAGGUGAAAUUCGUAGAUAUUAGAAAGAAUACCAAUUGCGAAGGCAGCUUUCUGGAUCAUUACUGACACUGAGGAACGAAAGCAUGGGUAGCGAAGAGGAUUAGAUACCCUCGUAGUCCAUGCCGUAAACGAUGUGUGUUAGACGUUGGAAAUUAAUUUUUAGUGUCGCAGCGAAAGCAAUAAACACACCGCCUGGGGAGUACGAC